RNAcentral lists this ribosomal RNA (404 nucleotides) under Verrucomicrobiota bacterium. Its description in RNAcentral is "Verrucomicrobia bacterium partial 16S ribosomal RNA". It matches the Rfam family "Bacterial small subunit ribosomal RNA", at positions 355 to 776 of the family's 1533-position model. Lineage: Bacteria; Pseudomonadati; Verrucomicrobiota. The record is from RNAcentral.
UGGGGAAUAUUGCACAAUGGGCGCAAGCCUGAUGCAGCAACGCCGCGUGAACGAUGAAGGUCUUCGGAUCGUAAAGUUCUGUUGCAGGGGAAGAUAAUGACGGUAACCGGAGAAGAAGCCCCGGCUAACUUCGUGCCAGCAGCCGCGGUAAUACGAAGGGGGCUAGCGUUGUUCGGAUUUACUGGGCGUAAAGCGCACGUAGGCGGACUAUUAAGUCAGGGGUGAAAUCCCGGGGCUCAACCCCGGAACUGCCUUUGAUACUGGUAGUCUUGAGUUCGAGAGAGGUGAGUGGAAUUCCGAGUGUAGAGGUGAAAUUCGUAGAUAUUCGGAGGAACACCAGUGGCGAAGGCGGCUCACUGGACCAUUACUGACGCUGAGGUGCGAAAGCGUGGGGAGCAAACAGG